AGAGUUUGAUCCUGGCUCAGGACGAGCGCUGGCGGCGUGCCUAAUACAUGCAAGUCGAACGCAUUUUCUUUCACCGUAGCUUGCUACACCGAAAGAAAGUGAGUGGCGAACGGGUGAGUAACACGUGGGUAACCUGCCCAUCAGCGGGGGAUAACACUUGGAAACAGGUGCUAAUACCGCAUAAUUCCAUUUACCGCAUGGUAGAUGGAUGAAAGGCGCUUUUGCGUCACUGAUGGAUGGACCCGCGGUGCAUUAGCUAGUUGGUGGGGUAACGGCCUACCAAGGCUGCGAUGCAUAGCCGACCUGAGAGGGUGAUCGGCCACACUGGGACUGAGACACGGCCCAGACUCCUACGGGAGGCAGCAGUAGGGAAUCUUCGGCAAUGGACGCAAGUCUGACCGAGCAACGCCGCGUGAGUGAAGAAGGUUUUCGGAUCGUAAAACUCUGUUGUUAGAGAAGAACAAGGAUGAGAGUGGAAAGUUCAUCCCUUGACGGUAUCUAACCAGAA
Molecule: ribosomal RNA, 508 nt
Filed under: uncultured bacterium
Lineage: Bacteria
Description: bacterial SSU rRNA
Rfam family: Bacterial small subunit ribosomal RNA
Source: RNAcentral